GACGAACGCUGGCGGCGUGCUUAACACAUGCAAGUCGAACGAUGAACUCCAGCUUGCUGGGGGGAUUAGUGGCGAACGGGUGAGUAACACGUGAGUAACCUGCCCUUGACUCUGGGAUAAGCGCUAGAAAUGGCGUCUAAUACCGGAUACGAGCUUCAGCCGCAUGGCUAGGAGUUGGAAAGAAUUUUGGUCAAGGAUGGACUCGCGGCCUAUCAGCUAGUUGGUGAGGUAAUGGCUCACCAAGGCGACGACGGGUAGCCGGCCUGAGAGGGUGACCGGCCACACUGGGACUGAGACACGGCCCAGACUCCUACGGGAGGCAGCAGUGGGGAAUAUUGCACAAUGGGCGAAAGCCUGAUGCAGCAACGCCGCGUGAGGGAUGACGGCCUUCGGGUUGUAAACCUCUUUUAGUAGGGAAGAAGCGAAAGUGACGGUACCUGCAGAAAAAGCACCGGCUAACUACGUGCCAGCCGCCGCCGUAACAC
Molecule: ribosomal RNA, 485 nt
Filed under: uncultured bacterium
Lineage: Bacteria
Description: bacterial SSU rRNA
Rfam family: Bacterial small subunit ribosomal RNA
Source: RNAcentral